GUCUACGGCCAUACUACCCUGAACGCGCCUGAUCGCAUCUCAUCUAGGAAGCUAAGCAGGGUUGGGCCUGAUUAGUACUUAGAUGGGAGACAGUACACGGCUGCUGAAACA
Molecule: ribosomal RNA, 111 nt
Filed under: Mandrillus leucophaeus (drill)
Lineage: Eukaryota; Metazoa; Chordata; Mammalia; Primates; Cercopithecidae
Source: RNAcentral